GUGGAAUUAUAAAACCUUUGGAAAAUCUUUCAUGUGAGAACAACAUGGGGGCAAGCCUCUGACCAAAAUAGCUCAAAAAUUUGUGUUACGCAGUUACAGUAAAUACCCAAGAGCUUGACGCAUAAAACACAACAGCCUCCUGGAGACAGAGGGAGGAGAAAGAAAGAUAAAGUCUGUGGCUUUAGAAGAAAAGGAAUAACUUAAGAGGCUUGUUUGCUGUUCAGGCUGGCCACCAAGGAUGACAUUUUGGAUACUAUAAGAAGAUUGGGAUAGAUACUGAGUGAGCCUCAGAAAAUCAGCUGGAUACACCCCAGCUCCCUCCCACCACAUGAACUAAAGAUCUGCAAGCUGUAACCUUUUCCGAAGGGCUACCUGGGCCUCUGUGUCCAUCAGAGCUGAUGAGCUGAUCUUCAUUCACCAUAAGUGCAACUAUCAUGGCUCAUGGAGCCCUGGAGAGAGUAGCACAUAUAUUGAACUUCAGUUUUAAAAAGUCUAAUACUUUUCUAAAAUGACUUGCUAUCUAUUUCAUCCAGAGAAGAUUUAUUACGUAGCCUUUCUAGCAUAAAAUAUCAUUACUUUUAAAGAAAAAUCCAAUCUAAAUUCCUCUAACUACAAUGGAAGUCCCCUUUUCUUAUUCAUUUCUCACUCAAAUAUGGAACAACCAGUCACUUCCAUUAAAUCUAAUCUUCCUGUAUGCUCUUGAAGAUAACUACCAGUUAAACAGAGCUAUCUAUGGGAAUGGUUUUUGAAAAAAAAUUGCGUUGUUUCAGUACUUUGGAGGAUGGCUGAUGUUUGCCUUUUCAAGAGAUGUAUCAUGGACUGUUUUUGUUAAACUAACUUGGCUUCAAGAAUUUGAGACUAACUCAGAUUUUCUCAAACAGUGGGGGAUUUGAUGCAGCAAUAUGCAGGCAUGGGAUAUCAGAAAGAGCCAGAUAACCAAAGGAAGAGUAGUAGCUGAAGCAGGAUUCUAAGACCAAGAAAUCAUUUUCAUGCUGCAUUACGGUUGCCAGAUUAGUCAUUAAAUAAACAGUAUACAAUUCAUUGAACUCUCUGUUAGCCCAUUUGAAAGAUGAUGAAGUUAGAAUGCUUAAUAUAUGGUCCUUUGUGUUUGGAGCAGAUAAAAGCGUUCUGGAAAAUUCCCAAGAGUAGAAUAUUAAUUUCAGGGCAGAAGAGAUUUUUGCUGUUUCGGUCGUGGCAUUAUCUCCAGUAUUUAUGUGCCUGGAACAUAUUAGUUGCCCAUGCUUUGACGAGUGGGAUGGCCCUUUGAAGCAGAGACACACCUUUCUCCCUGGGUGCUACCUGAGCACUUCUUACAAAACCAUUUGUUUUAUUAUGACAUUUAGCAGAUUGUGUUAUUUUUACUCACAUGCCAAAUGCUGUACUUCAAUAUGAGCUUUUCAAGAAGUAAAGAAUAGUGAAUUAUUCCUAUUUGUAACACAGAUAUGAGCCACCAGGGGCAACUAUAUGCAAACUAAAUUGAUAGCUAUGAGGUCAUAGUGUUGAACUGUUGUUGCGAAUACUUCUCUCGUAGACACCCUGAGAAGUGAUAGUGAGUUCAUGCUAAAGCUACAGUCUAACUUUCUAAAAAGAGUUGAAAUUAUCUCAUAUUUAACAUUCUGUGAAUUCCAUGUCCAGAAGAGUUCAGGGUUAUCAAUGCGGUAUUUUCUCAAAAUAGAACCACUCUGUUCUCCAAGGACUUAAAAUAUAGAAGCCCAGGAAAUAUUCUGUCAGUUAUUAAAAAUGUCCACUAACACAUGAA
Homo sapiens (human) is the source of this 1759-nucleotide long non-coding RNA. Lineage: Eukaryota; Metazoa; Chordata; Mammalia; Primates; Hominidae. The record is from Ensembl.